Long non-coding RNA from Oreochromis aureus, 354 nucleotides. Lineage: Eukaryota; Metazoa; Chordata; Actinopteri; Cichliformes; Cichlidae. The record is from Ensembl.
CGGGGUCCAGCAGCACCAAGAUAGUUAUGAAUACAGGAUAAACACUGUGGGCUCCAGGAGACGGGGCAGAGGUAGUGAAGGUUGUCUGAAGGCACACUCAGACACUGUCACAGAAGGUUGUGGAGAUCCGUAGCGCUGAAACGUCUGCACAGAAACAGAGAAAGCCAGCAUGAAGACCUCGUGAGGGACAGGCGAGUAAUCAGCUGAUUGUUGACAAGUGACUGAAGGACAGGAAGGUGGAGGAGCAUCCCCUAAAAAAGACAAACACACGGACAACAACACAGGCACACACCGAAAGAGGAGAGAGAGAAAGAAGCAGGCCAGCAAAAACGGGCAAGGGAACCAUGACAUCUA